CGGAGCUUGCUCCACCGGAAAAAGAAGAGUGGCGAACGGGUGAGUAACACGUGGGUAACCUGCCCAUCAGAAGGGGAUAACACUUGGAAACAGGUGCUAAUACCGUAUAACAAUCGAAACCGCAUGGUUUUGAUUUGAAAGGCGCUUUCGGGUGUCGCUGAUGGAUGGACCCGCGGUGCAUUAGCUAGUUGGUGAGGUAACGGCUCACCAAGGCCACGAUGCAUAGCCGACCUGAGAGGGUGAUCGGCCACAUUGGGACUGAGACACGGCCCAAACUCCUACGGGAGGCAGCAGUAGGGAAUCUUCGGCAAUGGACGAAAGUCUGACCGAGCAACGCCGCGUGAGUGAAGAAGGUUUUCGGAUCGUAAAACUCUGUUGUUAGAGAAGAACAAGGAUGAGAGUAACUGUUCAUCCCUUGACGGUAUCUAACCAGAAAGCCACGGCUAACUACGUGCCAGCAGCCGCGGUAAUACGUAGGUGGCAAGCGUUGUCCGGAUUUAUUGGGCGUAAAGCGAGCGCAGGCGGUUUCUUAAGUCUGAUGUGAAAGCCCCCGGCUCAACCGGGGAGGGUCAUUGGAAACUGGGAGACUUGAGUGCAGAAGAGGAGAGUGGAAUUCCAUGUGUAGCGGUGAAAUGCGUAGAUAUAUGGAGGAACACCAGUGGCGAAGGCGGCUCUCUGGUCUGUAACUGACGCUGAGGCUCGAAAGCGUGGGGAGCAAACAGGAUUAGAUACCCUGGUAGUCCACGCCGUAAACGAUGAGUGCUAAGUGUUGGAGGGUUUCCGCCCUUCAGUGCUGCAGCUAACGCAUUAAGCACUCCGCCUGGGGAGUACGACCGCAAGGUUGAAACUCAAAGGAAUUGACGGGGGCCCGCACAAGCGGUGGAGCAUGUGGUUUAAUUCGAAGCAACGCGAAGAACCUUACCAGGUCUUGACAUCCUUUGACCACUCUAGAGAUAGAGCUUCCCCUUCGGGGGCAAAGUGACAGGUGGUGCAUGGUUGUCGUCAGCUCGUGUCGUGAGAUGUUGGGUUAAGUCCCGCAACGAGCGCAACCCUUAUUGUUAGUUGCCAUCAUUCAGUUGGGCACUCUAGCAAGACUGCCGGUGACAAACCGGAGGAAGGUGGGGAUGACGUCAAAUCAUCAUGCCCCUUAUGACCUGGGCUACACACGUGCUACAAUGGGAAGUACAACGAGUCGCGAAGUCGCGAGGCUAAGCUAAUCUCUUAAAGCUUCUCUCAGUUCGGAUUGUAGGCUGCAACUCGCCUACAUGAAGCCGGAAUCGCUAGUAAUCGCGGAUCAGCACGCCGCGGUGAAUACGUUCCCGGGCCUUGUACACACCGCCCGUCACACCACGAGAGUUUGUAACACCCGAAGUCGGUGAGGUAACCUU
Molecule: ribosomal RNA, 1388 nt
Filed under: Enterococcus durans
Lineage: Bacteria; Bacillati; Bacillota; Bacilli; Lactobacillales; Enterococcaceae
Description: bacterial SSU rRNA
Rfam family: Bacterial small subunit ribosomal RNA
Source: RNAcentral